CUACAAAGGAGAAAAUUAACCCCUUGGGUCUCAGAUUAGGUACCUGUCUUAUGGGACUGUGGCUGACAGAAGCUGAUGCUGAUACUGGAGACAAAAGAAUCUGAGGAACUCAUCAUUUUUAUGCAGGGCCAUUUCCCAGCAGCCUGCCAUCCAUUCUUAGUAACAGGAUUUGUGAGCAGGAGAUGAGCUUACCAGGGAACACGGAGCAGGAGAAGAAAGUUAACUCACCGGUCACUGAAGACACUGAC
Molecule: long non-coding RNA, 248 nt
Filed under: Fukomys damarensis (Damara mole-rat)
Lineage: Eukaryota; Metazoa; Chordata; Mammalia; Rodentia; Bathyergidae
Description: lncRNA (ENSFDAG00000023207.1)
Source: RNAcentral